Ostertagia ostertagi is the source of this 71-nucleotide non-coding RNA. NCBI's taxonomy places the organism in Eukaryota, Metazoa, Nematoda, Chromadorea, Rhabditida, Trichostrongylidae. The record is from the annotation of a GenBank genome assembly.
CGCCCCAGGCGAGAAUUGAUCCGCACCUCUUGCCUUCAGGGCAGUUGUGCUGCCGAUUACACCACUGGGUC